RNAcentral lists this Y RNA (116 nucleotides) under Prolemur simus (greater bamboo lemur). RNAcentral describes it as "Y RNA (ENSPSMG00000006911.1)". It matches the Rfam family "Y RNA". From Rfam's summary of the family: Y RNAs are components of the Ro ribonucleoprotein particle (Ro RNP), in association with Ro60 and La proteins. The Y RNAs and Ro60 and La proteins are well conserved, but the function of the Ro RNP is not known. The record is from Rfam by way of RNAcentral. Lineage: Eukaryota; Metazoa; Chordata; Mammalia; Primates; Lemuridae.
GGCUGGUCCUAAGGUAGUGAGUUAUCUCACUUGAUGGAUUGUUCAGUCAGUUAUAGAUUGAACUCCUUAUUCUACUACUUUACCCCCUUCUCACUACAGCACUUGAUUAGUCUUAA